UGGGGAAUAUUGCACAAUGGGCGCAAGCCUGAUGCAGCAACGCCGCGUGAGGGACGACGGCCUUCGGGUUGUAAACCUCUUUUAGUAGGGAAGAAGCGAAAGUGACGGUACCUGCAGAAAAAGCACCGGCUAACUACGUGCCAGCAGCCGCGGUAAUACGUAGGGUGCAAGCGUUGUCCGGAAUUAUUGGGCGUAAAGAGCUCGUAGGCGGUUUGUCGCGUCUGCUGUGAAAACCCGAGGCUCAACCUCGGGCCUGCAGUGGGUACGGGCAGACUAGAGUGCGGUAGGGGAGAAUGGAAUUCCUGGUGUAGCGGUGGAAUGCGCAGAUAUCAGGAGGAACACCGAUGGCGAAGGCAGUUCUCUGGGCCGUAACUGACGCUGAGGAGCGAAAGCGUGGGGAGCGAACAGGAUUAGAUACCCUGGUAGUCCACGCCGUAAACGUUGGGCGCUAGAUGUGGGGACCAUUCCACGGUUUCCGUGUCGCAGCUAACGCAUUAAGCGCCCCGCCUGGGGAGUACGGCCGCAAGGCUAAAACU
RNAcentral lists this ribosomal RNA (536 nucleotides) under uncultured bacterium. RNAcentral's name for it is "partial 16S ribosomal RNA". It matches the Rfam family "Bacterial small subunit ribosomal RNA", at positions 355 to 901 of the family's 1533-position model. The record is from RNAcentral.